AACAAGCUGUAGCAGCAAGAAAAGGAUUCUUUUGGGUGGAAAGCUACUCUCCUUCCUAUUGAGGAAACAACAAAAUUAACUUCUGUUUGGGGAAGGACUGGAAACCAGAAGCCAGUGUAAUUAGACAACCCACCAGAGUGUAGGCAGGGAAAGGUAUUUAUUUUUGUGUCAGGAGGUGCUAGUUCUUUGAGCCAAAAAACCCUCCCUAUUUGGUCCUACUCUGAAGCCCACCUUGUAAUUACUGAAAAGUAAACCAAAGUGACAAAUUAACAACCUCCAGAGCAGGACUGAUUUACUCCAGGCUCCUCCCACCACCACCACAGGAAGAAAUUCUGAGGCUGAGGAGGUGAAGGAGGUACCUUGCCACCAUAUACGGAUGAUGAUAGGAUAGAACUAUGUCAGUCUUGACAAUCUGCAAUCAUUGAUGAUCCCAUGGCACUCUUCAGAAGCGCUGACGUUGUUGAUCUAGUGUCCUGGCCAAGAUUGCUGAGUUUUGAUGAAAGAAAUUCAGAGAAGUGAAUCACCAACAGCCAGCAUUUGUUCAGGACCGGCACAGAGAAGCUGAUCUGCAGUGCCCUGGACUUCUACCACCAUUCAGGAGAGGAGUGAUAGCAGUGUCAGAAUGAGACACUGGUAUCAGAAA
Molecule: long non-coding RNA, 643 nt
Organism: Mauremys reevesii (Reeves's turtle)
Lineage: Eukaryota; Metazoa; Chordata; Testudines; Geoemydidae
Exons: 3
Source: RefSeq, a predicted model, not a curated record